GAGUUUGAUCGUGGCUCAGGAUGAACGCUGGCGGCGUGCCUAAUACAUGCAAGUCGAACGAACAGAUAAGGAGCUUGCUCCUUUGACGUUAGCGGCGGACGGGUGAGUAACACGUGGGUAACCUACCUAUAAGACUGGAAUAACUCCGGGAAACCGGGGCUAAUGCCGGAUAACAUGUUGAACCGCAUGGUUCUACAGUGAAAGACGGUCUUGCUGUCACUUAUAGAUGGACCCGCGCCGUAUUAGCUAGUUGGUGGGUAACGGCCUACCAAGGCGACGAUACGUAGCCGACCUGAGAGGGUGAUCGGCCACACUGGAACUGAGACACGGUCCAGACUCCUACGGAGGCAGCAGUAGGGAAUCUUCCGCAAUGGGCGAAAGCCUGACGGAGCAACGCCGCGUGAGUGAUGAAGGUCUUCGGAUCGUAAAGCUCUGUUGUUAGGGAAGAACAAAUAGUGUAAGUAACUGUGCAUAUCUUG
Molecule: ribosomal RNA, 479 nt
Filed under: uncultured microorganism
Description: bacterial SSU rRNA
Rfam family: Bacterial small subunit ribosomal RNA
Source: RNAcentral